ACAGAUGGGAGCUUGCUCCCUGAUGUUAGCGGCGGACGGGUGAGUAACACGUGGGUAACCUGCCUGUAAGACUGGGAUAACUCCGGGAAACCGGGGCUAAUACCGGAUGGUUGUCUGAACCGCAUGGUUCAGACAUAAAAGGUGGCUUCGGCUACCACUUACAGAUGGACCCGCGGCGCAUUAGCUAGUUGGUGAGGUAACGGCUCACCAAGGCGACGAUGCGUAGCCGACCUGAGAGGGUGAUCGGCCACACUGGGACUGAGACACGGCCCAGACUCCUACGGGAGGCAGCAGUAGGGAAUCUUCCGCAAUGGACGAAAGUCUGACGGAGCAACGCCGCGUGAGUGAUGAAGGUUUUCGGAUCGUAAAGCUCUGUUGUUAGGGAAGAACAAGUGCCGUUCAAAUAGGGCGGCACCUUGACGGUACCUAACCAGAAAGCCACGGCUAACUACGUGCCAGCAGCCGCGGUAAUACGUAGGUGGCAAGCGUUGUCCGGAAUUAUUGGGCGUAAAGGGCUCGCAGGCGGUUUCUUAAGUCUGAUGUGAAAGCCCCCGGCUCAACCGGGGAGGGUCAUUGGAAACUGGGGAACUUGAGUGCAGAAGAGGAGAGUGGAAUUCCACGUGUAGCGGUGAAAUGCGUAGAGAUGUGGAGGAACACCAGUGGCGAAGGCGACUCUCUGGUCUGUAACUGACGCUGAGGAGCGAAAGCGUGGGGAGCGAACAGGAUUAGAUACCCUGGUAGUCCACGCCGUAAACGAUGAGUGCUAAGUGUUAGGGGGUUUCCGCCCCUUAGUGCUGCAGCUAACGCAUUAAGCACUCCGCCUGGGGAGUACGGUCGCAGACUGAAACUCA
Molecule: ribosomal RNA, 851 nt
Filed under: Bacillus siamensis
Lineage: Bacteria; Bacillati; Bacillota; Bacilli; Caryophanales; Bacillaceae
Description: bacterial SSU rRNA
Rfam family: Bacterial small subunit ribosomal RNA
Source: RNAcentral